CCUAGGUGGCAGCAGUGGGGAAUAUUGGACAAUGGGCGAAAGCCUGAUCCAGCCAUGCCGCGUGUGUGAAGAAGGCCUUCGGGUUGUAAAGCACUUUCAGUGGGGAAGAAAGCCUUGGGGCUAAUACCCUCGAGGAAGGACAUCACCCACAGAAGAAGCACCGGCUAACUCCGUGCCAGCAGCCGCGGUAAUACGGAGGGUGCGAGCGUUAAUCGGAAUUACUGGGCGUAAAGCGCGCGUAGGCGGUCUGAUAAGCCGGUUGUGAAAGCCCCGGGCUCAACCUGGGAACGGCAUCCGGAACUGUCAGGCUAGAGUGCAGGAGAGGAAGGUAGAAUUCCCGGUGUAGCGGUGAAAUGCGUAGAGAUCGGGAGGAAUACCAGUGGCGAAGGCGGCCUUCUGGACUGACACUGACGCUGAGGUGCGAAAGCGUGGGUAGCAAACAGGAUUAGAUACCCCGGUAGUC
RNAcentral lists this ribosomal RNA (463 nucleotides) under Vreelandella stevensii. RNAcentral describes it as "partial 16S ribosomal RNA". It matches the Rfam family "Bacterial small subunit ribosomal RNA", at positions 338 to 795 of the family's 1533-position model. The record is from RNAcentral. Lineage: Bacteria; Pseudomonadati; Pseudomonadota; Gammaproteobacteria; Oceanospirillales; Halomonadaceae.